CCUACGGGGGGCAGCAGUGGGGAAUAUUGGACAAUGGGCGAAAGCCUGAUCCAGCCAUGCCGCGUGUGUGAAGAAGGCCUUCGGGUUGUAAAGCACUUUCAGUGGGGAAGAAAGCCUUGGGGCUAAUACCCUCGAGGAAGGACAUCACCCACAGAAGAAGCACCGGCUAACUCCGUGCCAGCAGCCGCGGUAAUACGGAGGGUGCGAGCGUUAAUCGGAAUUACUGGGCGUAAAGCGCGCGUAGGCGGUCUGAUAAGCCGGUUGUGAAAGCCCCGGGCUCAACCUGGGAACGGCAUCCGGAACUGUCAGGCUAGAGUGCAGGAGAGGAAGGUAGAAUUCCCGGUGUAGUAGUGAAAUGCGUAGAGAUCGGGAGGAAUACCAGUGGCGAAGGCGGCCUUCUGGACUGACACUGACGCUGAGGUGCGAAAGCGUGGGUAGCAAACAGGAUUAGAUACCCUGGUAGUC
RNAcentral lists this ribosomal RNA (465 nucleotides) under Vreelandella stevensii. RNAcentral's name for it is "partial 16S ribosomal RNA". It matches the Rfam family "Bacterial small subunit ribosomal RNA", at positions 338 to 795 of the family's 1533-position model. Lineage: Bacteria; Pseudomonadati; Pseudomonadota; Gammaproteobacteria; Oceanospirillales; Halomonadaceae. The record is from RNAcentral.